Molecule: long non-coding RNA, 452 nt
Organism: Saccostrea cuccullata (small rock oyster)
Lineage: Eukaryota; Metazoa; Mollusca; Bivalvia; Ostreida; Ostreidae
Exons: 4
Source: RefSeq, a predicted model, not a curated record
CGCUGUCAAAUCGCCAUGAUGAAAAUCAACAGAGAAGAUUACAGAAGAAUUAAGGUAACCUACAUCUCUUUCCAGUUUCAGCUUCCUCCAACAAUCCACCAUGACGAGGACUCUGGCUAUCCUAGUACUCUUGUUUGGAGUGUCACUUGCUCUCUUCAAUGGUAUGAAUAGAAAUGGUUUCAACAACAAUGGGUUUAAUAAUAAUGGUUGGAACAACAAUGGGUUUAAUAAUGGUUGGAACAACAACGGUUGGAAUAACAAUGGUUGGAAUGGUUGGAAUAACAACGGUUGGAAUAACAAUGGUUGGAAUAACAAUGGCUGGAACAAUAAUGGCAUGGGGAGAAUGAUGUACGGCUAGGGAAAUUGAGAGCAUUGAUAACAAACAAAUAAAGGUUGUUCUACAGAGUCUUCAAAGUGUUCAAAAAGAUUAAUUCUGAAUAAAUGAUUUCAAA